CCUACGGGUGGCAGCAGUGAGGAAUAUUGGUCAAUGGCCGGAAGGCUGAACCAGCCAUGCCGCGUGAAGGGCAGGGACCUAGGGGCGGUAAACUUCUUUUGUGCGGGAGCAAGAAUGGUCACGGGGGGCCAGACGAGAGGACCGUACGAAUAAGCAGCGGCUACCUCCGUGCCAGCAGCCGCGGUAAUACGGGGGAUGCAAGCGUUAGCCGGAGUUCUUGGGGUUAAAGGGUGCGUAGGAUGUGAGGUAAGUCAGCGGUGAAAUGCCCCCGCUCAACGGGGGGAAGUGCCAUUGAUACGGCCUUGCUGGACUGCGGAUGCCGUGGGCGGAAUGUGUGGUGUAGCGGUG
Molecule: ribosomal RNA, 348 nt
Filed under: uncultured bacterium
Lineage: Bacteria
Description: partial 16S ribosomal RNA
Rfam family: Bacterial small subunit ribosomal RNA
Source: RNAcentral